UGUCCUAUUCCUAGCAGCUGCAACUCAGAAAAUGCUGUAAGACUUAAUCCUGCUUUUGAACAUGAUGAACCCAUAGCUUGUGUUUGCUAUAUGCCUUGUACUGCAAGUGCAUGUGUCAAUUCUGCAGAGAUCAUUGAUCAAGGAACACUACACACACAUGAAAACACAGCUCAGGGUGAAGGUCACCAGAUAAUUAUUCAAAACCAAGAUUGACAAGUUAGUAUGUGAAAUUCUGUAUUUCCAGAAUAAACCAGAGAAGAGCAAGGUAUCAGAAAAAAAAUCUGUAUGAUUCAAGAUGAAACUUCACACUAUAUUAUGUCAUGGCAAAUUUGGAAAUUAUUGAAAGACUUGCAAUUUUGACUUAACUGAAACAAAACACUUAAAACUGAAACACAUAUUACAUGAAAGUUACUGUCUUUUAAAGGUCAAUUUGCACCCAUUUUGCUUAGUGCAAAAAAAGUCUAAAAGUUCACCACUUAAGAAGUCACCAUGAAUACAGUUGUUAUUUGUGGAGUUAUACGCCAGUAGUAGCCUGAGAUUCCCAGUAGCAGAAACUGUAACAAGCUUAUUAAGUCCUUCUACAUCUAGUAAUAUAACUUUUAAAAUAUUUUACUAGCUUUAAAAUAUUUAAAGCUAAAUGUUUUGUUACCAGGGAUAUUUAAGUUCAUUAAACCAUACUAAACAUUGCUUGUAAAUUGUUUAGCUGAUUCUUAAAGUGUCUCAUAAUGCUGGAAGAACAGAUGACGGUUUUUUAAUGACUUGCUGGAGAAUGAGACUUGUGAGUUUUCUGUUGUAUAAUAAAACAGAAGAUCUCUCUCAUUGUUAAAUUCUUAAUGAAAAGUUCUUCUAAUCAGAUUUCAGUCUUUUAGAUGCAAGAAAGUUGUUGUAAUUUCAAUGAAGUACUCUCUCCAGGCACAACGAAACACUGUGGCUAAGUAGAUUAUCAAAAGCCAAAGGCUGAAUUGAUUCAAUCUUUGCAGGUUAGUCUAAGCUACAUAGAUUGAAUCCAUAAGCAAGUGAACAGACAUUCACUUUGGAUUCUGGAAAUGUAGCCACAUGCCUGCAGUAGCAUAGGCCAGAGGGUGCUGAAGCACGCCACCCUGUUCACCUGGAGCCAACAAGUUGGGCCAAGGCUAGCCCACCCACCCUGCCAGGGCUAGGUUUGCAGGGGAGGUGCAAAGCAUCCUGAGAUGCUGGGGAACUGAGAGUUAACUUGAAUCUGGAGGGGAUCUGGGACCGAAGUUCAAUAAACCGAUUUAACCAAGUCAGUUAAGUCUGAUGCUACAUCCAUCUAGGUUUACCUUAAACUGGUUUCAGACUUUUUGAAAGCAGUUUAUGUGCACUGAACUUCUGCUGUGUUACAGAUUUGAACUCGUUUCCAAUCACUUAUACUCAUUUUUGUAUAAUUUCUGUCCCUGGCCUGUGUAUUUUAGAAUGUACACAAGUGAUUUGAGCAUAUAAUUACUAUAUGUUAGCAAACUAAUUAGACAUACACACAAGCAUAUGCUCAGUACAUAUAUAUAUACACACACACACACACACACACACACACACUACCCUAAUGGUUACUAUUUGUUUUUUUUGUUGCAUAUCUCAGUAAGCAAUAAGUGGCUAUAAGCAUCUCAUAUGUUUAUCACAACUUUGGCUGGAUUACUGCACAACUAAGAUUCAAACUACUAACUUUGUCCUGUUCACGAGCCUACAUAUGCUGCAGCAGACAGAAUACAUAUAUACUACUUACUUUCAGACACUGUUUCUCAUUUCCUAUACAACAACAACAACGAAGACUUGUAAGUGUGCUUUUACUCCAUAUAGGAACAUCCAUAUUCAUAUCUGUACUUGUAUAUUUUGAGUAUUAUCUGCUCAUUUUAACAAUUUUUUUGAAAUUUUUUUUUUGCAGGGAAAGGGGAGACAUUUUAAGUCACAGUGAAGAUAGAGUGAGCUUUAUUUUAUUUCAUUUUAUAUAGUGUAAGAAUUGCUUAAUAGUUCCAACUGGUUCAGUCUAUACAAACCGUAGUUUGGCUUGCAGAUCCUGGAUGUGGAGACAUCAGGUACAAGAUGGAAAGAACUGACCUUGAAUUCCAUGUUCAGUUGUCAAGGCUGAUAUAAUAUCUUUGACAUAUAGUUUUGGAAAUGAGACCAAAAAAAGGGAAACUCAUGAUUCUAUUUAACAAAGUCACAUUCCAAAGUAGAACACUGUUUUACAUUCUUUCCGUAUGAUACUGAAAGAUUUUUUUUUCAGCAAAUAUUAGCUUUUACUGAGGAUAAUAUAUAUCUUAAGGAUAACUCAAACAUUCCAUAUUUUUUCAUUUAAACAUAUUUUUAUAUCCAUUUAGCAUAUUUCAAUUCAUAUAGAUUUUCAUUAGGCAGGCAAUAAAGAAGUCAUUUUUAAUGUCUAUUUAAUAAUGA
Alligator mississippiensis (American alligator) is the source of this 2409-nucleotide long non-coding RNA. RefSeq lists it as uncharacterized. The record is from RefSeq and is a predicted model, not a curated record. Lineage: Eukaryota; Metazoa; Chordata; Crocodylia; Alligatoridae. The transcript is spliced from 3 exons.